RNAcentral lists this ribosomal RNA (421 nucleotides) under uncultured bacterium. RNAcentral's name for it is "bacterial SSU rRNA". It matches the Rfam family "Bacterial small subunit ribosomal RNA", at positions 8 to 444 of the family's 1533-position model. The record is from RNAcentral.
AGAGUUUGAUCAUGGCUCAGGACGAACGCUGGCGGCAGGCUUAACACAUGCAAGUCGAACGGGGUGCCCGACUUCGGUUGGAACACCUAGUGGCGAACGGGUGAGUAACGCGUGGGGACCUACCUUUUGGUUCGGAAUAACCUCGGGAAACCGUGGCUAAUNCCGAAUAAGCCCUUCGGGGGAAAGAUUUAUCGCCGAAAGAUGGACCCGCGACCGAUUAGGUAGUUGGUGAGGUAACGGCUCACCAAGCCCGCGAUCGGUAGCUGGUCUGAGAGGAUGAUCAGCCACACUGGGACUGAGACCCGGCCCAGACUCCUACGGGAGGCAGCAGUGGGGAAUUUUGGACAAUGGGGGAAACCCUGAUCCAGCCAUGCCGCGUGAGUGAAGAAGGCCUUCGGGUUGUAAAACUCUUCACCGGGCG